Pseudophryne corroboree (corroboree frog) is the source of this 589-nucleotide long non-coding RNA. RefSeq lists it as uncharacterized. NCBI's taxonomy places the organism in Eukaryota, Metazoa, Chordata, Amphibia, Anura, Myobatrachidae. The record is from RefSeq and is a predicted model, not a curated record. The transcript has 4 exons.
CAGACGCACUUAACCCUUUCCCAGCUGGCUGACACAGGCCCAGGGGACUUAAAAAAUAAAACACACAACAGACUGGUAGGUCUGCAAACCAUCCAGAUGAUUACCAAGGCUGUUGUCAGCCUAGAGGCUUCACUCUCAUCAGCAGGUGGUCCAGGAAGUCCUGGAGGACCAGGUGGUCCCUAAAAUGAAAAUCAAUAAAAAAGAUACAGGAGGACCCCCGUACUGGCUUAACCUCGUGUACUGUCAACCCACCGUCCCACUCUGCCUGGGUGUGCUGAAGGGCCAUGUGCUGAAGGGCCAUGAUGGCUUUCCUGGAUCCCAGGUGUCCGGUCUCUUUGCAGCUUGUUGCCUCUCCUGGACUCUCCCGUACUGGAAACACACCUACUGGCUUAUCCUCCCUUUCUCCUUUCUUUGUCAUGGGUGUGUGUUUGCUGCACAGGAGGACCCACCUACUGGCUUAUCCUCGUGGACUGUUAACCCACUAUCCCACUCUGCCUGGGUGUGCUGAAGGGCCAUGGUUGAAGAUGGCUUACCUGGACCCCUGGUGUCCGGUCUCUUUACAGCUUGUUGCCUCUCCUGGACUCUCCCG